Molecule: non-coding RNA, 3060 nt
Organism: Macaca mulatta (Rhesus monkey)
Lineage: Eukaryota; Metazoa; Chordata; Mammalia; Primates; Cercopithecidae
Source: RefSeq, a predicted model, not a curated record
CAGGGUUUUUGUCACACACACAGAGCACAGAUUUUUUUGAUUAUGUAGAUUUCUUUUCCUACUGCAGUUUCAUAUGCAAAGCAUGCAUCAGCCACAUCCAUGCUAUCUCCUAAAGCAGUCAUUCUGAAACCCAAUCUGGGGACAGUGCAGACUAAAUAAAAUUUCAUUUUGAUUUGGCCUCCCGCUGCGAACGGGACUGCUUUGUCUCAGUCGACAGAACCAGCAAGCCAGAAAGGUGUGGAAUACUAAAAUACUGACUGAAAGGAGAAUUGUACAGGCGCUGCUGUGAUGCUCCAGAGAUUUCACUGGAAGAUUUGUCAUGCUGAUUAUAUUGUAAAUUUGAAGAUGCAUUUAACAGCUUUGAAGGACCUUAGCUUCCAUGGUCCUUUUGAGCCGCUUUGGCAGAAAAGCAAUCGCCCAUUUUAGAGAAGGGGAGAAAUAGAGAAUAAACACUCUUCUCCAAUAGGACUGAACGGUUUUGCCAUCUUGGUAUGUUUUAUAAAAUGCACUGUGGUGUUUUCCCGAAGAGCUGCUAAAUAUGGCUCUGCUUUAAACAAUGACCUUCACUGGGAGUCAUCUCAUGAGAGACUGUGUUGUGUCAAAUGUUCUUCUUACACUUGUCCCCCCUUUGGGAGAAUGUACUAGCAAUCAGGGACAACCUGCUGUGAUAUUCUCAGAAGAAGCUUUAGAUAAGAUGGCGAAGCACCAGGGGACUGACAGGUGGUGGGAACUCAGUUUUCAAGCCCAAAUUUAUCCUUGAAAUUGUUAUUGCCCUUCAUCAAUUCAUAGGGUGCUAUAAAGGAAAGAAGUUUUUCCCUGGCUCACAUAUUGGCAUAUCAUUAAUCUAAAUCAAAUUACAGCAAACUGGUAAAGAUGGAGAUAGAGUAAAUGACAAAUAAAUUGCUUAAGAGAAGAGCACAAAGAAAAGUUCACUCUGACUCUGGGGUUCUGCCUAAGUAAUUCCACAUAGGAUAUAGAUUAGCAGAUGAAAAAUACCAAUUAGCUUCAUAGGGACCUCACCCCACCCAUCCAGAGCAAAAACAAAAAAAGUCAUGUAACUUUGUAGAGGGUCAAAAAUUAACUUUUGCCAAUCCAUAAUGUUGUGGCUAUUCUAGAGUUCUGAGGGGAGUGGUGUUCCAGGGGUACUUCCAGAUGCCAUUUCUGAAAUGUAAUGGCUGAGGUCUUUGCCAUUACAAUAAAUUAUCCUUUCACCGCAAAGUCUCUCAGUUCACUAUUUUGCACCUGUUAGCCAAGCGCUGUGGGCGAGAAGAGUCACCAAGAGUGUUAGUCAUUUGUUGAUAGACUCCCUACUUACUACAUACAACAGAUUGAAGAACAAAAUGAAAGUUAGUUAAAGAAGACGUUGAAGAAACAAUAGUGUGAAAACAGCAUGAGAUGUCAUUUGGUAAAUAUGCCACAGCCUCGCAUAAGGAAGAGGAAAAUGGCAGUGUGGGCCAUGACUGGCAGGUCUGGAUCCAUAGACUGUGAUUUCCAGGAUCACCCAACAAACCAGAAAUCAAAGAAUCCUUUAUCACUGGAUCUCAGCCAGGUGCCACGUUGCAGGGGACAUAAGGAAGAUUAUGAUGGGACUCUCCAAGACUAAGGAUGAAGACGUAUGUCCAGCUAGAAUCAUUUGUCCUUAAACCAGGUUAAGUUGCCGUCCAUGCCAAAUGAGUAUUCAGGACAGAGGUCAUGUACAGGUACGCUAGUACUCAGAAUGCUGGUGAUGUGACCUCAAAAAAGGAGGUGCGGCUGUGAAGACAAGAUGCUGUCUAUAAAGGCCUGCGUGACCUGCCAAAGGCUAUCUUUUAUAGCACCAGAGAGGAGCAGUUUUUUAGCUUUUGUUCACUGCCCAAAUGUUUUGGGAGAAAUCUGUGCUAGAGUGGCCAAAAAGGAAUAGAACCUACUCGCGUGUACAUUCGUUAGGUUAUAUUAUCUGAAAAACUAAGCAUAUUAUGUUAUAGAAUUAUCACCUCUAGUGAAGCCCAGCAAAGAAACUUCGACUCCUACACCAAGAAUGGAAAAGAACGACUCUGAGAAGGGACAGCUUCAUCUACUUUUGCACUCAGGCUGGAGUGACUCUGCCCUGUUUUCUCUCCUCAGUUCUUCAGGCUCCUUAGCAGCCGUGGAGGAACGCCUCAAGUGGUCUCACAAGUCCUGGACUCCGCUUCAGUGAAAAAUUGGAGAGAAGCUGCUUUUGGGUUGUUGUUUGAACUUUCCACGAAGAGAGUUCGGAUACAGCAUUUAUGUGUGUUAAAAAUGUUUGCAGCAUUUGCCCACUUACGAAUGUAUGCAUUCUCUCUACAUCUUUCUACAUCUAUUGCACGUCUUCCCCAUAGCAGGAACCAUUAAGACUCGGGGGGGGGCGGGGCGGGGCACGAAGUACGUAAGUCUUGGCUCUCUGCUCUGGGAGCACUUGCCAGAACAGAGGGACAGACGGGCAAGCGUACAAUUGAAAUACAAGGAGAUCAUGUUUGUAAUCGAGAUAUUAAGUGACUGCUAUGAGAGGACUGCUCAAUGAACCACCAGGGAGCUCCCUGGCGGUCAGGUCACGCCUCAGUGGAAUGUGAUAUUUGAGCUUCAGGUACUCUACGGUUUACAUACAGCUCGACCCCACCAAAUCUCAUGUUGAUAUGUGGUCCCCGUGUGCUGGUGGGGAAGGUGGGGCCCGGUGGGAAAUGUUUGGGUCAUUGACGGGGAGUUCCUUUAUGAAUGGCCUGGAAUGGGUCUCACGGUAGUGAGUUCUGCUCUCCUUAGACUGGAUUACUUCUCGUGAGAAUAAGCUGAUUCCUCUGAGAGGGGGCUGUUAUAAAGCGAGGACCCCCUCGGAUUUUGCCCUUUCUUUGUUGACCUUCGUCCAUGCUACGACCCAGCACAAAAGCCCCCACUGGAAGCUGAGCAGAUGCUGGCACCAUGUCCCAUGAACUUCCCGCCCCGUGGAACCGUGAGCUACAUACAGAAAGCUCUCUUCUUUAGGAAUUACUCAGUCUCGGCCGGGCGCGGUGGCUCACGCCUGUAAUCCCAGCACUCUGGGAGGCCAAGACGGGUGGAUCACGAGGU